GAGGCAUGGGCGGGGGGAGAAGGAGGGACAGGGCAGUCUUGUGUGUCUGGUGUGUGUGCCUGUGGCCUCUGUCUCAGAAACGGCAGCGAACAGGUCCGGAUUGAAACCUAAGCUGCGUAUUCCCCUGGAAGGACGCGAGCCACGGUCGCGCCUGGGACCAGGCAGCCUGGCCUAUCAGGCACCCAGCCAGACGUGCCCCAGCAGGGAGAAUAUUCCAGACUUUUUUAGAAGGCUGCCUGAGGGGAUCUGGAUGCUUUACGGGUAUUUCCCUGUGCCCCCCCCCCCCUUCCUACACCCACUGUAUUAACUGCAUUAAAACAUUCUCAACCAAAACAAAACAAAAACCUCUCAGUUUGUAAACCAUGUUUCUCAGUUAACUGGCUAGGUAGAGAAAGGGGCACAUUAACUUUCCCUUUUAGGGGAAGCAAAGAAGGAGAGGAGGAAGGGUCAAAAGAAGCUGGAGGAGGGAGGAGAGAGAAGGAGGAAGCAGUAAGGCAGGAAGACUGGCAAUAAUAAGUCCAUUUCGCCCAUGUAGAGCACUUCACGGUUAGGACUUAUUAUAGUGGAUUUUGUAUCCAUUAACUCAUAACUACCCUUUGAUAAUUAUGCCCGUUUUAAGGACUGGGAGGCCGAGGUCCAGAGCAGCGAAGUAACUGUGCCCAUGUUCCGGCAGUCAGUCGCUGGUGGAGCCGGGAUGGAGCCAGGGUCUCCUGCCUCUUAUCCGCUCCUGUGAGGCCCUGAGUCAUAG
Molecule: long non-coding RNA, 748 nt
Filed under: Felis catus (domestic cat)
Lineage: Eukaryota; Metazoa; Chordata; Mammalia; Carnivora; Felidae
Description: lncRNA (ENSFCAG00000049035.1)
Source: RNAcentral